This 1137-nucleotide ribosomal RNA is filed under the name Triticum aestivum (bread wheat). Its description in RNAcentral is "partial small subunit ribosomal RNA". The record is from RNAcentral. Lineage: Eukaryota; Viridiplantae; Streptophyta; Magnoliopsida; Poales; Poaceae.
AUGUCGUCGUUCGCCGGCGUCGAUCUGUGCCCCCCUUGCGCCGGGUCGGCCUGCGAAACCAGCGCGGACUGCGGGUACCACCUGCUCGUGGUCCAGGACUACUCGCGCGCCAAGGAGAAGGCGCCUACCGGGGAGAGCAUCAUCUCCCGGCCCUUCAGGGUCGGAUGCCACACGUGGCAGAUCGAGCUCUUCCCCAACGGCGACAACCCGAGCUGCGCCGACUUCGUCUCUCUCUACGUCUGCCGUCUCGACGACUAUCUCAACAAUGCCGUGGAUGCCAAGUUCAGUCUCAGUUUCGUCGACCAGGCCGAGAAGCAGAAGCCGGUGUACAUUCUUGGGACCGAGACGUGCAGCUUCCCCCAUGGCGGUUCCCGAGGCCACCGCAAGUUCAUGAGGAAAGACGCCCUUGAACGGUCGGAGAAUAUGCGGCGUGAUGGUUUCACCGUCCGCUGCGACAUCAUGAUCUGCUGCGAGGAGGAUGAUGCCAGUGGCACCGGCCCGCCUCGCUACAUAUGCCAGCAUUUUAGCACUCUCCUUGAGAGUAAGGUGGGUGCUGAUGUGACAUUCGAGGUCAGCGGCGAGACAUUCGCUGCGCACCGGUGCGUGCUUGCUGCCCGGUCGACGGUCUUCAUGGCGCAGCUCUUUGGCCCCAUGAAGGAGGGCACCACGUCCAGUGUCAUACGGAUCGAAGACAUGGAGGCAAAAGUGUUCAGGGCUUUGCUUAGGUUCAUCUACACAGAUUCAUUCCCUGAGAUGGAGAAGGAAUGCGUGCGGGAGGAAGCACAAGAUGUGGAACAAGGACAAGAAGAGGAUGAAAUGCAUCUGCAAUGGCUGCGAGGCUUAUUUACGGCGGCAGACAGAUAUGACCUCCAACACCUCAAGUUCAUCUGUGAAAAGCGGUUGUCUGAGGACAUAGGUGUGAGUUCGGUGGCGUCCACUCUUGUUCUGGCCGAGCAGCACGACUGCAGCGGGUUGAAGAUGGCGUGCUUCAAGUUUAUUCAAGCUCAAUCUUCCUCCUGUUUGAAAAGGGUAAUGUCAACUAAUGGCUGGGGGCAUUUAAUGACGACUUACCCCUCUAUUUUGAAUGAGGUCAUUGCCAAGCUUGCUUCGAAAAAGCGUAAGAAGCACUCUACAUAG